This 439-nucleotide ribosomal RNA is filed under the name uncultured bacterium. Its description in RNAcentral is "partial 16S ribosomal RNA". It matches the Rfam family "Bacterial small subunit ribosomal RNA", at positions 339 to 795 of the family's 1533-position model. The record is from RNAcentral.
CUACGGGUGGCACCAGUGGGGAAUAUUGCACAAUGGACGAAAGUCUGAUGCAGCAACGCCGCGUGGAGGAUGACACAUUUCGGUGCGUAAACUCCUUUUAUAUAGGAAGAUAAUGACGGUACUAUAUGAAUAAGCACCGGCUAACUCCGUGCCAGCAGCCGCGGUAAUACGGAGGGUGCAAGCGUUACUCGGAAUUACUGGGCGUAAAGAGCGUGUAGGCGGGUUUGUAAGUUGGAUGUGAAAUCCUAUGGCUCAACCAUAGAACUGCAUCCAAAACUGCUUACCUAGAAUAUGGGAGAGGUAGAUGGAAUUUCUGGUGUAGGGGUAAAAUCCGUAGAGAUCAGAAGGAAUACCGAUUGCGAAGGCGAUCUACUGGAACAUUAUUGACGCUGAGACGCGAAAGCGUGGGGAGCAAACAGGAUUAGAUACCCGCGUAGUC